RNAcentral lists this ribosomal RNA (428 nucleotides) under Gemmatimonadota bacterium. RNAcentral's name for it is "Gemmatimonadetes bacterium partial 16S ribosomal RNA". It matches the Rfam family "Bacterial small subunit ribosomal RNA", at positions 355 to 776 of the family's 1533-position model. The record is from RNAcentral. Lineage: Bacteria; Pseudomonadati; Gemmatimonadota.
UAGGGAAUCUUCGGCAAUGGACGAAAGUCUGACCGAGCAACGCCGCGUGAGUGAAGAAGGUUUUCGGAUCGUAAAACUCUGUUGUUAGAGAAGAACAAGGACGUUAGUAACUGAACGUCCCCUGACGGUAUCUAACCAGAAAGCCACGGCUAACUACGUGCCAGCAGCCGCGGUAUACGUAGGUGGCAAGCGUUGUCCGGAUUUAUUGGGCGUAAAGCGAGCGCAGGCGGUUUCUUAAGGUUGAUGUGAAAGCCCCCGGCUCAACCGGGGAGGGUCAUUGGAAACUGGGAGACUUGAGUGCAGAAGAGGAGAGUGGAAUUCCAUGUGUAGCGGUGAAAUGCGUAGAUAUAUGGAGGAACACCAGUGGCGAAGGCGGCUCUCUGGUCUGUAACUGACGCUGAGGCUCGAAAGCGUGGGGAGCAAACAGG